CUUGCCCGUCUGCUUAGGCGUUGAGGGGGUGGCAUGAGGCCUUUUGGCGGGGCUGAGAGGACAGAGGGGCCGGCGACCUCGGGAUUGCCCCUGGCCAGAAGGGUUCCGGUGGCUAGCGAUGCGGCCUGGGGCUGCGGCGGGGUGCCCCUCCCUCCUUCCUCCCUCCCCGCUCUGGUGAAGUUGUGGUGGAGCCUGCUGGAGCGCUUGGUGUUACAAAUCCACAGUAGUUAUUGCCACCUUUUCGAGGGUUCUGCCUUUACGCUUCUCCUUCGUGCCUUUUAGGGAGUUUGUUGAGGUUUUUUAUUUUGUUUUGGGUUGGGGUUUUUUUGUGGCCACAAAGAACAGGAACUUCUUUUCCUUUUGUAGGUCUGGUUUCUUCCCUUGCUUUGUGAGAGGGCUGAGGUGCGUUGUCACUCCCCGCUGUGGAAGCGGGUGCGGGGUGUGAGGGCUGAGGCUCCGCAGCCGCUUUGAAGGGUAGUGAGGGAAUACCUAAACACUUUCUAGUAAGAAAUGCCCCUGUAUGUAUAUUUACUUUUUUACUUUGCUAUGAGCUUUUUCCGGGGGGGGGGGGGGGGGGGGGGGGGAUAUGGUAAAUAAAACCCAACUGAUUAAUCUGUUAUGCUUUAAUUUUAGGGCAGGCGUUCCCCUCAGAUUUGUAUAUUGCCUUUGAGUGCCGGAGAGGAAAGAGCAAGGCUUGCCUGCAUAGGCUAGGAGACAUUUGACUUCAAAGUCUUUUGAAGAUGUUCCAGGGAGUAAUUAUGCUUUGCAAAUGUUAAUCUUCUAAUUAAUUACCAUGCAAGAAAGGAAAAUACAACACUUUAAAAACGUUCAUCUGAGUGCAGAGCCAGCAGGAGUGAGCAGCUUGGCUCCCCGCAUCCCUGCGUAUGUGUGUUGCGUUAUUAAGAGAAUAGCCAGCUCUAUGGGAAAAGUGACAAAAAGAAAUUUCACCCCCAAGAACAGAUGAGAGAGUUGAAAUGGGCCCUGCUGAGUUCCUACUGAUGUUCCCCGGAGAAAUAUUGUGGGUUGAGAGACUGUCUGCCUGGAUUCAGUAUUCAUUCAGGACUUCUUGCCUCCGAAGCCUUGUCUCCCUGAGCAGCUGCUAGAUUCUUUGCUUACUUGGCAUCACCAUCAGCAUGCAAGAAAUUCUGAAGUAAGUAAAUGCAGCCCACUCACCGAUGGCCCACACUGAAGAGGCUCAAGAGAAACAGGCCAAAGCUACCUACUUCUUAAGGAUUUUCUCAGAGCCACGUUUCCUGAGCGUGUGCUGGCUGUCUUCUGGAAGACCACGGUCCCGGCAUGGCUCAGGCGCUGCUGCUGCUGCUGCUACAGGGAGCUGCAAAGUAACGGUGAGGGCUGAGCAAUGGGGAUGGGAGCUGCAUCUUUCUUCAUCAUGUAAACUCCCUGGGAGAGUCAGGUUCAGGAAUACUUGAUGCAGCUGCCAGAGGCAGGGAGCAAAGUUCCUUUAAAACCACCAUGAGACUCAGCCACUUCUGCUCCACGUACAAGGUACAACACUGAAAGUCGCCGUUUGUCAGCUGGUUGCUCCCUCUCAAGAAGAACCAGCUGUGGGGGUGCUGGUACCACCCGGUACAAUCCCUCCUCGCUCUCUGUGUCCUGGAGAAGACAAGCCUGAGGAAGGACUCUUGCAAGAGGCAAACGAAACAUCCAUCCCCGUUCUCUUCUAAGCUGAGAGGUUUACGUGGGCAGGAUGAUGUGCACUCAAGACUCAGGCUUUCCCUGAGAGCAUUCUGCUGACCCUCCCCUAAAACAUGGAGGAAACAGAGCACCAUGGAAACUGUGAAGCUUGCUCAGAUGUAGCAUCUCGACCUUACGGGAAGAGCGGUCCACCUCCAGUGACAGAGACCAUGCAGACUCUGCAUGGAUAGAGGAGAGGUUCACGUCCUGCACUUCAGGAGUUUAGCAGAUUAAAUCUUCAGGGCUGCAACAGUGAUGAGGAAGGGAAGGAACUGCUCGCCUGUGGCUGCCCCUUCUGCCUGGCGGUGUCGUGAGACUCAGCCCUGCUAACGGCUUCUGAGGGAGGAAUGCCCAAGGAAAAUCAAAGACCAGGAGACUGGUGGAAAGUAGUCGUCUUCCUCUGAUGGGGAGCUUGCCUGAGAUCUCAAAUACCAUGUCUUGUCCAGCACGUUGCUGGUAAUUCCUUCAGCAGCAAGCGCAGCUGGAACAUACCACUUACAGACCACUGGACA
This is a long non-coding RNA of Falco peregrinus (peregrine falcon), 2207 nucleotides long. RefSeq lists it as uncharacterized. The record is from RefSeq and is a predicted model, not a curated record. Lineage: Eukaryota; Metazoa; Chordata; Aves; Falconiformes; Falconidae. The transcript has 11 exons.